RNAcentral lists this ribosomal RNA (406 nucleotides) under uncultured bacterium. RNAcentral's name for it is "partial 16S ribosomal RNA". It matches the Rfam family "Bacterial small subunit ribosomal RNA", at positions 30 to 526 of the family's 1533-position model. The record is from RNAcentral.
AUUGAACGCUGGCGGCAGGCCUAACACAUGCAAGUCGAACGAGUGGCGGACGGGUGAGUAAUGUCUGGGAAACUGUCCGAUGGAGGGGGAUAACUACUGGAAACGGUAGCUAAUACCGCAUACCAUCGGAUGUGCCCAGAGGGGAUUAGCUAGUAGGUGGGGUAACGGCGCACCUAGGCGACGAUCCCUAGCUGGUCUGAGAGGAUGACCAGCCACACUGGAACUGAGACACGGUCCAGACUCCUACGGGAGGCAGCAGUGGGGAAUAUUGCACAAUGGGCGCAAGCCUGAUGCAGCCAUGCCGCGUGUAUGAAGAAGGCCUUCGGGUUGUAAAGUACUUUCAGCGGGGAGGCGUUACUCGCAGAAGAAGCACCGGCGAACGCCGUGCCAGCAGCCGCGGUAAUUC